UACGAAGGGGGCUAGCGUUGUUCGGGAUUACUGGGCGUAAAGCGCACGUAGGCGGACUAUUAAGUCAGGGGUGAAAUCCCGGGGCUCAACCCCGGAACUGCCUUUGAUACUGGUAGUCUCGAGUCCGGAAGAGGUGAGUGGAAUUCCGAGUGUAGAGGUGAAAUUCGUAGAUAUUCGGAGGAACACCAGUGGCGAAGGCGGCUCACUGGACCGGUACUGACGCUGAGGUGCGAAAGCGUGGGGAGCAAACAGG
This 253-nucleotide ribosomal RNA is filed under the name uncultured bacterium. RNAcentral describes it as "partial 16S ribosomal RNA". It matches the Rfam family "Bacterial small subunit ribosomal RNA", at positions 524 to 776 of the family's 1533-position model. The record is from RNAcentral.